Molecule: ribosomal RNA, 562 nt
Filed under: uncultured bacterium
Lineage: Bacteria
Description: bacterial SSU rRNA
Rfam family: Bacterial small subunit ribosomal RNA
Source: RNAcentral
AGAGUUUGAUCCUGGCUCAGAACGAACGCUGGCGGCAGGCUUAAUACAUGCAAGUCGAACGGUUGUAGCAAUACAGCAGUGGCAGACGGGUGAGUAACACGUGGGAACCUACCUAGGGGUACGGAAUAACUCAGGGAAACUUGUGCUAAUACCGUAUACGACCUCAGGGUGAAAGAUUUAUCGCCCCUAGAUGGGCCCGCGUUGGAUUAGCUAGUUGGUGAGGUAAAAGCUCACCAAGGCGACGAUCCAUAGCUGGUCUGAGAGGAUGAUCAGCCACACUGGGACUGAGACACGGCCCAUACUCCUACGGGAGGCAGCAGUAGGGAAUCUUGGACAAUGGGCGAAAGCCUGAUCCAGCCAUGCCGCGUGAGUGAUGAAGGCCUUAGGGUUGUAAAGCUCUUUCGCCAGCGAAGAUAAUGACGGUACCUGGAUAAGAAGCCCCGGCUAACUUCGUGCCAGCAGCCGCGGUAAUACGAAGGGGGCUAGCGUUGUUCGGAAUUACUGGGCGCAAAGCGCACGUAGGCGGUUUUCCAAGUUGGAGGUGAAAUCCCCGGGCUUAACC